AACGAACGCUGGCGGCAGGCUUAACACAUGCAAGUCGAACGCAUCCUUCGGGGUGAGUGGCAGACGGGUGAGUAACGCGUGGGAACGUGCCCUUCAGUUCGGGAUAACCCAGGGAAACUUGGCUAAUACCGGAUACGUGCGAGAGCAGAAAGAUUUAUCGCUGAAGGAUCGGCCCGCGUCUGAUUAGCUAGUUGGUGGGGUAAUGGCCCACCAAGGCGACGAUCAGUAGCUGGUCUGAGAGGAUGAUCAGCCACAUUGGGACUGAGACACGGCCCAAACUCCUACGGGAGGCAGCAGUGGGGAAUAUUGGACAAUGGGCGCAAGCCUGAUCCAGCCAUGCCGCGUGAGUGAUGAAGGCCUUAGGGUUAUAAAGCUCUUUCGUCCGGGACGAUAAUGACGGUACCGGAAGAAGAAGCCCCGGCUAACUUCGUGCCAGCAGCCGCAGUAA
This 448-nucleotide ribosomal RNA is filed under the name uncultured bacterium. Its description in RNAcentral is "partial 16S ribosomal RNA". It matches the Rfam family "Bacterial small subunit ribosomal RNA", at positions 29 to 523 of the family's 1533-position model. The record is from RNAcentral.